ACGCUGGCGGCGUGCCUAAUACAUGCAAGUAGAACGCUGAAGAGAGGAGCUUGCUCUUCUUGGAUGAGUUGCGAACGGGUGAGUAACGCGUAGGUAACCUGCCUUGUAGCGGGGGAUAACUAUUGGAAGCGAUAGCUAAUACCGCAUAACAAUAGGUGACACAUGUCAUUUAUUUGAAAGGGGCAAUUGCUCCACUACAAGAUGGACCUGCGUUGUAUUAGCUAGUAGGUGAGGUAACGGCUCACCUAGGCGACGAUACAUAGCCGACCUGAGAGGGUGAUCGGCCACACUGGGACUGAGACACGGCCCAGACUCCUACGGGAGGCAGCAGUAGGGAAUCUUCGGCAAUGGGGGCAACCCUGACCGAGCAACGCCGCGUGAGUGAAGAAGGUUUUCGGAUCGUAAAGCUCUGUUGUAAGUCAAGAACGAGUGUGAGAGUGGAAAGUUCACACUGUGACGGUAGCUUACCAGAAAGGGACGGCUAACUACGUGCCAGCAGCCGCGGUAAUACGUAGGUCCCGAGCGUUGUCCGGAUUUAUUGGGCGUAAAGCGAGCGCAGGCGGUUUGAUAAGUCUGAAGUUAAAGGCUGUGGCUCAACCAUAGUUCGCUUUGGAAACUGUCAAACUUGAGUGCAGAAGGGGAGAGUGGAAUUCCAUGUGUAGCGGUGAAAUGCGUAGAUAUAUGGAGGAACACCGGUGGCGAAAGCGGCUCUCUGGUCUGUAACUGACGCUGAGGCUCGAAAGCGUGGGGAGCGAACAGGAUUAGAUACCCUGGUAGUCCACGCCGUAAACGAUGAGUGCUAGGUGUUGGAUCCUUUCCGGGAUUCAGUGCCGCAGCUAACGCAUUAAGCACUCCGCCUGGGGAGUACGACCGCAAGGUUGAAACUCAAAGGAAUUGACGGGGGCCCGC
RNAcentral lists this ribosomal RNA (909 nucleotides) under uncultured bacterium. RNAcentral describes it as "bacterial SSU rRNA". It matches the Rfam family "Bacterial small subunit ribosomal RNA", at positions 33 to 924 of the family's 1533-position model. The record is from RNAcentral.